Molecule: ribosomal RNA, 253 nt
Filed under: uncultured bacterium
Lineage: Bacteria
Description: partial 16S ribosomal RNA
Rfam family: Bacterial small subunit ribosomal RNA
Source: RNAcentral
UACGUAGGGACCAAGCGUUGUUCGGAUUUACUAGGCGUAAAGGGCGCGUAGGCGGCGUGACAAGUCACUUGUGAAAUCUCCGGGCUUAACUCGGAACGGUCAAGUGAUACUGUUGUGCUAGAGUACAGAAGGGGCAAUCGGAAUUCUUGGUGUAGCGGUGAAAUGCGUAGAUAUCAAGAGGAACACCAGAGGCGAAGGCGGAUUGCUGGGCUGAUACUGACGCUGAGGCGCGAAAGCUAGGGUAGCAAACGGG